UUCCCAGGCAAAAUUUCUAGUAACUCAGCAUUUGGUACCAUCUUUACUAUAAUUUUAUACAGUAUCCUGCAUGUCUCAUUAAUUAAGACUUAAAUCCUUUUAUAGAUUGUCACAUCAGUGAGCAAGGUUCAGUUUAGGGAUUGAGAGCCCUCAGCGACUGUAACACCUAGCCCAUAUUCAAAUUGUAGCACUUGAUUGCUGCCACUGAUUCUUCAAAAUGCCUAUUUUGUAUGGAAUGAUUGACAGCCAAAUGGAAUGAUUUAAACAAAUGCCAAAGGUGAAACAUGCUGGAAAAGCUUGAUGUGAAUGUGUAGACAUAGUUUUGGAAUUCAGAGGUGCAGCCGGCUGUUGGGAUUGGGCCAUCCAGGCAAUGUGGAUAUUCUGCCAUGUACAUGACAAACUGAGGAUUCUUCGUCAACAUGCAAGAUGUUACUCCCUGUAAACUACUGUUGGCAGAAAAGCUGAUACAUUGGGAAAACGGUUAUGGCAAGUGCGAUGAAUAAAUCACCAUAGGUCAGUUGUCUUGCAUUCACAAUUGCGACGAAGAUGAAUCAUGGAGUCAAAAACAUUAAAAGAACAUGCUGGAAUUCAUGUCAUCCUGGAGAGGACUAAAAAAAACGAGCUUUAUCCACAAAGCAGCUCAUUAAUCAUGUCCCAAACGAUUGUCUGCGUCAGCCAGCAAUCUUUCAAUGGCUAACAAGCAUUUAAUAGUUUUGAAAAUCGCGGUUUGCACUCCCUAAGGCGACAUUCCUUAAUCCUCACCUGUCAAUAGAUUUGAGUGCAACCAUUUCUAUUCUGAACUGUCGCCUACGAAAUUCUUUUUCCAUAAAAUGAGGUGAUAUGAUAUUAUAAUGGAAAUUGUUGUCAAGACUGCCGAGACCAGCCCAUGGAAGAUCUCUGUGUCCAACACGAAGGGUUCUUCGAAACUUUCGUAUUCAAGUUUUGGCUAUGGUGAUCAUUUGCAACUGCAUAGCAUUUUAGAAGCUCCUGCCAGGAAUCUACAGGAAUAUGGCAGAUGAUGA
This is a long non-coding RNA of Daphnia carinata, 1022 nucleotides long. RefSeq lists it as uncharacterized. NCBI's taxonomy places the organism in Eukaryota, Metazoa, Arthropoda, Branchiopoda, Diplostraca, Daphniidae. The transcript is spliced from 6 exons. The record is from RefSeq and is a predicted model, not a curated record.